Mauremys reevesii (Reeves's turtle) is the source of this 310-nucleotide long non-coding RNA. RefSeq lists it as uncharacterized. The transcript is spliced from 3 exons. NCBI's taxonomy places the organism in Eukaryota, Metazoa, Chordata, Testudines, Geoemydidae. The record is from RefSeq and is a predicted model, not a curated record.
GUGGCUUGUGCCAGAAAAACUUUAUGAAGUCUCAGCGUUUCCUUGUGGGCCAGGUCUGGGCUGAAACGUAACAUGCUGAUGGGGCUGUCUCCUCACCAUCCCUAGCACGUACAACAGCUUCUUCCACAAGUCUGAGAGUAAGAGGAACACUGUACCAGAAGAAGAGGAAGCAAAAUAAUAUUACCCAGCCUGGUAAGGGUUUCUGCUGGGACUUUCACUUUUGCAACCCCUGCCUUUUUGUUAUUUAAACUGUGCAGUCUUAAUGCAUUCAUGUCAUUUUCUCAAUUUAAUUUCCCUGGAUUUUCAAAGA